AAAAGCACCACAAUUAUAUAUUCACAAAAGCAUCACAAUUAUAAUAUCAUUCACAACUAGAUCAUUUACAGAUAGCUAGCUAGAUCAUUCACAAAAGCUCCAGAGAUGAUCAGUCACAAGCACCACAGCGACAUCACUCCAGCUUGAAGCAGUUCAAAAGCCCACAACUACAUCACUAAUGUUUCAUAUCACUCUAGCUAUUGUUCAAAAGCCCACAACUACAUCACUCUAGCUGCUCCAGAGCUGAUCAGUCACAAAAGCAAGACAUGUGAAAUUUAUGUAGAAGACUUCGCAAACUGUCCAUCUUCAACUGGUACUGCUAUCGUUGCUUCCAUAUCAUCCUAGCAUCAAGAUUAAAACUUAGUCUAGCAUAACACAAGUCGAAAAUGAAGGGAAAAAGGUAAAUAGGUACUUACAAUAGCUUUCUAAACAGUUUCACUAAAUCUUUUUCUUGAUGUAAUGCAUCUCCUUCAAAAAAACAAUUGCACUUGGUUAUAUUUUUCUUGUCGCUGAAAAGAUAUCAAAUAUAUUUAGUGAGCAUGUAGAUCAAAACAUAAGCUAUAGGUUGGUUUAGAAAUAAUUGGGAAAACUUAUAAGACAUAUAAAAAAACUCAAUAAAUAUCAUAUAAUAUUUUAGAGAUGCUAACUAAAGAUCACCAUUUUAGUUUUAAACUCAAUAAAUAUCAUAUAAUAUUUUAGAGAUGCUUAUGAAGUAAAUGCUGAUGCCAUAUACACUAACUUAUGCAGACACUUGAAAAAGUGCAAGUACACAUUAUUACCUGAGUUUUUUAUUUCAAAACAUCUUGCCCCACCACAAGCGACCUAACUCGUUAGUCCAUUAUUAGCCCAUCCAUGUCAAC
RNAcentral lists this long non-coding RNA (860 nucleotides) under Zea mays. RNAcentral describes it as "long non-coding RNA (ZMAY_LNC003071)". The record is from RNAcentral. Lineage: Eukaryota; Viridiplantae; Streptophyta; Magnoliopsida; Poales; Poaceae.